This 91-nucleotide transfer RNA is filed under the name Mesomycoplasma bovoculi. RNAcentral describes it as "tRNA-Ser". It matches the Rfam family "tRNA". Rfam says of the family: Transfer RNA (tRNA) molecules are approximately 80 nucleotides in length. Their secondary structure includes four short double-helical elements and three loops (D, anti-codon, and T loops). Further hydrogen bonds mediate the characteristic L-shaped molecular structure. tRNAs have two regions of fundamental functional importance: the anti-codon, which is responsible for specific mRNA codon recognition, and the 3' end, to which the tRNAs corresponding amino acid is attached (by aminoacyl-tRNA synthetases). tRNAs cope with the degeneracy of the genetic code in two manners: having more than one tRNA (with a specific anti-codon) for a particular amino acid; and 'wobble' base-pairing, i.e. permitting non-standard base-pairing at the 3rd anti-codon position. Lineage: Bacteria; Bacillati; Mycoplasmatota; Mycoplasmoidales; Metamycoplasmataceae. The record is from RNAcentral. RNAcentral also lists the same sequence under 2 other names.
GGGCAAUUACCCAAGUGGCUGAAGGGACUAGUCUUGAAAACUGGCAGGGGUGUUAAAGCCCGCGGGGGUUCGAAUCCCUCAUUGCCCGCCA